RNAcentral lists this unclassified non-coding RNA (330 nucleotides) under soil metagenome. RNAcentral's name for it is "partial contains 5.8S ribosomal RNA, internal transcribed spacer 2, and large subunit ribosomal RNA". The stretch from base 1 to 120 matches the Rfam family "5.8S ribosomal RNA", at positions 35 to 154 of the family's 154-position model. The record is from RNAcentral.
GAUGAAGAACGUAGCGAAAUGCGAUAAGUAAUGUGAAUUGCAGAAUUCAGUGAAUCAUCGAAUCUUUGAACGCACAUUGCGCCCCCUGGUAUUCCGGGGGGCAUGCCUGUUCGAGCGUCAUUACAACCCUCAAGCUCUGCUUGGUAUUGGGCCCCGCCAGUUCUGGCGGGCCCUAAAGUCAGUGGCGGUGCCGUCCGGCUCCGAGCGUAGUAAUUCUUCUCGCUCUGGAGGUCCGGUCGUGUGCUCGCCAGCAACCCCCAAUUUUUUUCAGGUUGACCUCGGAUCAGGUAGGGAUACCCGCUGAACUUAAGCAUAUCAAUAAGCGGAGGA